AAGGGAGACCUAAUUCAGGUAUGGGACGAAAAAAAAGUAGUCGCUACCAAGAAUCAAUCCCAAAAGGUCGGAGCGAGGUAUGAGGCUUUCGAACUAGGUUCUGGGUUCAAACAAGACCUGAAUCAGGAACAAGGGCUAUUAGCUCAGGUGGUUAGAGCGCACCCCUGAUAAGGGUGAGGUCCCUGGUUCGAGUCCAGGAUGGCCCACCUGCACAGGUGGCAAAAACAAGAGAAGCGAGGAAUCAGCACCUUAUCUUAUCUAUAUAUAUAUAGGAGAGAAUGCUGGCUCUGAGUAAAGAGUCCAGAGGAACCUUGAAAACUGCAUAGAGCUAGGUGAAAAAGCCAAAAAAGAAGACCGCAAGGUCAAGCUAAUAAGGGCUAACGGUGGAUACCUAGGCAC
This 399-nucleotide transfer RNA is filed under the name uncultured Microcystis sp. RNAcentral's name for it is "partial contains 16S-23S ribosomal RNA intergenic spacer, and 23S ribosomal RNA". The stretch from base 133 to 206 matches the Rfam family "tRNA". The record is from RNAcentral. Lineage: Bacteria; Bacillati; Cyanobacteriota; Cyanophyceae; Chroococcales; Microcystaceae.